GCCUUCGUGGUGUAAUGGUCAGCACACUGAGCCAGUAUUUCAGAGGUCCGUGGUUCGAUCCCCGGCGAAGGCA
This is a non-coding RNA of Stegodyphus mimosarum, 73 nucleotides long. The record is from Rfam. Lineage: Eukaryota; Metazoa; Arthropoda; Arachnida; Araneae; Eresidae.